Alexandromys fortis (reed vole) is the source of this 467-nucleotide long non-coding RNA. RefSeq lists it as uncharacterized. The transcript is spliced from 4 exons. The record is from RefSeq and is a predicted model, not a curated record. NCBI's taxonomy places the organism in Eukaryota, Metazoa, Chordata, Mammalia, Rodentia, Cricetidae.
GCUCGUAUUCCACCUCCUCCUGGAAGCACUUUGUGUUCACAUGCCAAGCUCACCCGUAGGACACCUUCUGGACUCAGGCCCCGCUGGACCUGACUGCACAGUUUCAGUUGUGGUUUUUAACAUGAUGUGCUUAACACAGUACUGGAACAUGGUUAAUGCCUCAUAAAUGGUGGUUAUAAUAAUUAAAAAUCCAAGUCUGCCCAAGCACCUGCUGAGCAGGUAAUUUUUGAAGCAUCGGAGUUACAUCAUAACUUGGGAAAUCUGUGAAGGAUUUGCAAAAGUGGCCACAUCCGGAACUCAGAGAGAGAUCAAAGAGCUGUCAUAGGAGACCUGGCCAACCUCAGAUCCUGGGCUGUCAGGACCAAAGGGCUGAAAAUGAAAUACUGAAUUCUUAUGAGCAGAUGGGGCAUUCUCUUUUCUCACCCAUGGGACUUUACCCUAGUGUGCACCACAGAGCUUGGCGGAGU